Molecule: long non-coding RNA, 602 nt
Filed under: Musa acuminata (dwarf banana)
Lineage: Eukaryota; Viridiplantae; Streptophyta; Magnoliopsida; Zingiberales; Musaceae
Description: long non-coding RNA (MACU_LNC004136)
Source: RNAcentral
AUGUUAGAUUAUGUGGUCCUAUUUAAUUAGGUAAGAUAUAUUAUAGAUAUUAUUGGAUUCUGAUUAUGGUUAUUGGCCAAUAGAAAAGAAGUCCAUAUUAAAAUAGGAUUCUUUAGGAGAUAACCUUGAUGGAAGGAACUCUCCUAAUAACUUAUCCUAGACCCUCUGCUCUCGCCUAUAAAUAGACAGGACCUCUAGGGGCUAAAGAUAUCAUCAUAUAUCAUCAGAUAUCAUCUGGACCUCUAGGGGGUCAAAUGCGCAUCUGAGUAGUAUCUGAGUCAAUUGAGAGAUUAAGGUUUUUCUCUCAAUUUGAGUCAAAUGAGAGAUUAAGUUUUUCUCUCAAUCUCCCUCUCCCUUAAUCCCCUAAUCCAUCAAUCUAGGUGGUCAUGUGAAAAGAUAGAAAGAGAGGAGAAGGAUCUAGUUCUUUUUGCAGAUCCUUGCAGAUUGAUAUUUCAGAUCCGACGAUGGAGCACUUGUAAAUCAGAUAAGGUUUAUUUCUUCUGAACAACAAGAAAGGUAUGCAUCGUAAUAUUGUCAGAUCUAAUUUAUUUGAUUUCAAUCUUGGUAUAAAAGUUUUUUCCGCAUUAUAGAUAGCAUGAUUA